This 253-nucleotide ribosomal RNA is filed under the name uncultured bacterium. Its description in RNAcentral is "partial 16S ribosomal RNA". It matches the Rfam family "Bacterial small subunit ribosomal RNA", at positions 524 to 776 of the family's 1533-position model. The record is from RNAcentral.
UACGUAGGGUGCAAGCGUUAAUCGGAAUUACUGGGCGUAAAGCGUGCGCAGGCGGUUUUUUAAGACAGAUGUGAAAUCCCCGGGCUUAACCUGGGAACUGCAUUUGUGACUGGCGGGCUAGAGUAUGGCAGAGGGGGGUAGAAUUCCACGUGUAGCAGUGAAAUGCGUAGAGAUGUGGAGGAAUACCGAUGGCGAAGGCAGCCCCCUGGGCCAAUACUGACGCUCAUGCACGAAAGCGUGGGGAGCAAACAGG